This 459-nucleotide ribosomal RNA is filed under the name uncultured bacterium. Its description in RNAcentral is "partial 16S ribosomal RNA". It matches the Rfam family "Bacterial small subunit ribosomal RNA", at positions 338 to 795 of the family's 1533-position model. The record is from RNAcentral.
CCUACGGGUGGCAGCAGUGAGGAAUAUUGGUCAAUGGCCGAGAGGCUGAACCAGCCAAGUCGCGUGAGGGAAGACGGCCAUACGGGUUGUAAACCUCUUUUGUCGGGGAGCAAAGCGAGGCACGUGUGACUCAUUGAGAGUACCCGAAGAAAAAGCAUCGGCUAACUCCGUGCCAGCAGCCGCGGUAAUACGGAGGAUGCGAGCGUUAUCCGGAUUUAUUGGGUUUAAAGGGUGCGCAGGCGGAGGUGCAAGUCAGCGGUAAAAUUGCGGGGCUCAACCCCGUACUGCCGUUGAUACUGCAUGCCUUGAGUGCGCGAGAGGUAUGCGGAAUGCGUGGUGUAGCGGUGAAAUGCAUAGAUAUCACGAAGAACUCCGAUUGCGAAGGCAGCAUACCGGCGCGCAACUGACGUUGAUGCACGAAAGCGUGGGUAUCGAACAGGAUUAGAUACCCUUGUAGUC